UUAAACUAAAUCCCUUUCCACACCACACUGACCAAACUGGAGGAAAAGAAUCUACACCAGGCUCACAGGAAUAUCUCCGCAGGAGCAAACAGAAAUCCAGAUAUGGGUACACAGCCUUCCAAGCAGUGGGUUCCUGUAGCCCAGACUGAGUGUUCGCAUUCAUGGCUCAGAGGUUGAUAAUGAGAACAGGAGGAGGGUCCGAGAGCUUCUGUCAGCCAUUCAGAACCAGCCUCAGAGAAGCAGAGUCACUGCCCAGAAGAAACAAAGUGGACCUGAAAAAAAGCUCCUGUUUGUCCAAAUGAUACCAUGUACGCCAAGCAAGCCCCCUGGGCUCCUGUGCUGGCCUGCAGCCAUCUUGCUGCCUGGCCACAUCCUCUGGUCCCUGGAGAGGCAAGCCAAAGGCUGAAGUUAGAUGAGCAGAGGGUUCCAACCUCACUCUGGGAAACUGAUCUGCCUUGUCAGGGCCUGGAUUCCCAACAUAAUGGAACAGCUGAGAGACGCUAGUUGAACACAAAAAUCACCCAAGAAGGCCAAUCUGUGAUACUGCAGAAGACCUAAUUGUAGUACAUGUGUUUGAAACACACCCUGGAACAGGGUGGUGAUUUAGUUGAUUGGCUGAAUAGCUUGUUGGUUAAGUGAGUGAAUGAAUGAGUGGGUAUAUCAAGUUUUUUAAAUUAAAUGAGAUUAAAUGUUGUUAAAAGGUCCUUUCUGAGUUUCUAAGAUGCUGAUCACCUUGGUGUGAUUAAAUUUGGGGUUAAAUCCUAAUGUGUUCAUUAGUAUCUGAUGAUGAUAAACUGACAUUUUUAACUAUAAUUAUUUUGUUGCCCUCUAUUCUCCUUUCUAGAAUUUAAGUUCUUUGAGGGCAGGAGUGGUCUGUCUUAUUCACUGCUUUAUUUUCAGGGUCUAAUGCAGAGAAAAUCCACAAAUAAAUCUUUACUGAAUGAAUGAAUGUGUUGACUCUUUAAUCUCCAAGUUGCUAGAUACUUCUGGAAAGGAUAUUUUUUUUCCUAAUUAAAAAAAAAAACAGUGGUUUUGCCAUCUGCUGCGUAAGCGCAAGGACCCGAGUUUGAUCCCCGGUACCAAAACAAAAAAAAACAACAAAAAAAAUCACUCUUUUUCAGACCAAAGAUGAGAACUUUCUGGUGUUCCCUUUUCCCAUUGCUAUGAAUGUAGACUGUAAAGUCAGAUCUUGUGAUAGUCAUCUCACAACCAAUACUAACAAAAAUGAGGAAACUGCACCUAAAGAAUGUAAACCAGAAACAGUCAGAGAUGCCCUGACUUCUUAGGCUUCACUGAAUCAUUGAAUCAUCCCUGAACCAAUUACCUCUGGCAUACCCAUGUGUGUGUUACUAUGUCCAGCUUAAACGUCUUCUUCAGUAAGAUAAUAUGAAUAUCUCUAAUAUUUUGAAUCACAGUCUCAUUCUAUUUUCUAUUUUCUGCAUUCAAAUACUUCAUAACUGAUACUUUUUUUACAUGUACUUUAGAUAGGACAGAGACUGUUUUAUUCAACUCGUUAUUUUCAAGCA
Molecule: long non-coding RNA, 1526 nt
Filed under: Heterocephalus glaber (naked mole-rat)
Lineage: Eukaryota; Metazoa; Chordata; Mammalia; Rodentia; Bathyergidae
Description: lncRNA (ENSHGLG00100045827.1)
Source: RNAcentral